AAAAACAUGUCUGUUUGGAGAUAUAAGAAGUUUGACCUGCCCACUGAUGAAUAAUUUAAAGGGCCGCAGUAUCCUGACUGUGCAAAGGUAGCAUAAUCGUUAGUUUUUUAAUUGGAAUCUUGUAUGAAUGGUUUGACAAAAAAAAAUCUGUCUUUAUGAUUAUUUAUUGAAUUUAACUUUUAAGUGAAAAGGCUUAAAUAAGUUAAAAAGACGAUAAGACCCUAUAAAGCUUAAUAUUAAACAUUUUAUUAAAUAAAAUUUUAAAUGAUAUAAAGAUUUAGUGAUUGAAUUUUAUUUUAUUGGGGUGAUAAUGGUAAAAUAAUUAAUAACUGUUAAUUUUUUAAAGACAAAAAUAAAUGAAUAAAAGUUUAUUUAUAAAUGAUCCUGUAUUAAAGAUUAAAAGUUUAAGUUACUUUAGGGAUAACAGCGUUAUUUUUUUUGAGAGUUCUUAUCGAGAAAAAAGUUUGCGACCUCGAUGUUGAAUUAAAAUAUCUAUAUAAUUGCAGUAGUUAUAUAAGAAGGUCUGUUCGAC
Molecule: ribosomal RNA, 532 nt
Filed under: Perisesarma kamermani
Lineage: Eukaryota; Metazoa; Arthropoda; Malacostraca; Decapoda; Sesarmidae
Description: partial 16S ribosomal RNA
Source: RNAcentral